GCCUCCAUGGUCCAGUUGGUUAUCACCCUUCUCGUGAGAGACGUCUCAUGGGGGAGGUCGAGGGUUCGAAUCCCUUUGGAGGUG
Molecule: non-coding RNA, 84 nt
Organism: Mycena vulgaris
Lineage: Eukaryota; Fungi; Basidiomycota; Agaricomycetes; Agaricales; Mycenaceae
Source: the annotation of a GenBank genome assembly